Gossypium arboreum is the source of this 145-nucleotide non-coding RNA. Lineage: Eukaryota; Viridiplantae; Streptophyta; Magnoliopsida; Malvales; Malvaceae. The record is from Rfam.
UAUUAAAGAUUUCAUCAAUUUUUACAGUUAAAAAUUAGUAUGGCUGACGAAAUAACUUGACAAUUACAAGUGUUGUGCUAUGUAUAUCUUAUUCUAACGUAUAGGGACCAGUUUUGAAUAGUAGAAAUGGAUGAAAUUUUUAACA